RNAcentral lists this ribosomal RNA (116 nucleotides) under Arthrobacter sp. Hiyo8. Lineage: Bacteria; Bacillati; Actinomycetota; Actinomycetes; Micrococcales; Micrococcaceae. The record is from RNAcentral.
CGCUUCAAGAUGAGAUUUCCAUACACCUCGUGUGUGAGAGGCCCCCAGCCAGACCACUGGGUUGAUAGGCCGGAUGUGGAAGACAGGACUAAAGACUGUUGAAGCUGACCGGUACU